UUUCUAUUUGGCAUGACGAAGCUCUGCUAUCCCAACCUCCUCCUCCACUCCUGCGGCGGCUUCACUUCCGGUCCUGUGAGCACCUCAAGGCCACCGCGAAUUUGGCAACUCAACCUCAUCAGGCCUCCGGUGGGCGUUGGUCAAACUCCAAUACUCGGUAGUUGGUCUCCCCACUUGAUGGGGCAUCCAUCAUGGUGGAGCAGCAAGUGGUGCACAUCGGCGCUGUCGGCAAGGUCCGGACCGCUAUCUUCCGAUGCCACUCGUCAACUGCUUUUCCCAUAGAGCAUUCAUGGGGAUGCUGUUAGUUCAUUCCUUACAGAGAGAUCGGAUCUACCUCGGGCUUUUGGGUCUUCCUCACGUCAGCCUCUACUGCUUCUGCUUUCAACGAGCAGUCUAUUUACGCAAGAACAAGCCGAAUGACAAGAAUACUCGGCAUUAUGAUCAACCUGCUACCUUCAUUUAUCGCUGCGAAGGCCGCUCUGGUCUUCGUUGUCCCUUGACCCUUUU
RNAcentral lists this long non-coding RNA (507 nucleotides) under Elaeis guineensis (African oil palm). RNAcentral describes it as "long non-coding RNA (EGUI_LNC001199)". Lineage: Eukaryota; Viridiplantae; Streptophyta; Magnoliopsida; Arecales; Arecaceae. The record is from RNAcentral.